GGCAAUCUGCCAGAGACAUAUGCCACACUAUUGAUUGCCAGGGUUGAUUCUAGCUGAUCUGACUAAUUAGGCAGGUGUCCCCUUCUUC
Unclassified non-coding RNA from Notamacropus eugenii (tammar wallaby), 88 nucleotides. Its record names the gene 7SK. It matches the Rfam family "7SK RNA". From Rfam's summary of the family: 7SK was discovered as an abundant small nuclear RNA in the mid-70s but a possible function has only recently been suggested. Two independent studies have found that 7SK RNA binds the CDK9/cyclin T complex (known as elongation factor P-TEFb). P-TEFb activates transcription by phosphorylating the C-terminal domain of RNA polymerase II. The record is from Ensembl. NCBI's taxonomy places the organism in Eukaryota, Metazoa, Chordata, Mammalia, Diprotodontia, Macropodidae.